GAGUUUGAUCUUGGCUCAGAUUGAACGCUGGCGGCAUGCCUUACACAUGCAAGUCGAACGACAGCACGGGAGCUUGCUCCUGGUGGCGAGUGGCGAACGGGUGAGUAAUGCAUCGGAACGUAUCCUGGAGUGGGGGAUAACGUAGCGAAAGGUACGCUAAUACCGCAUAUUCUGUGAGCAGGAAAGCGGGGGACCUUCGGGCCUCGCGCUCUUGGAGCGGCCGAUGUCGGAUUAGCUAGUUGGUGAGGUAAAGGCUCACCAAGGCGACGAUCCGUAGCAGGUCUAAGAGGAUGAUCUGCCACACUGGAACUGAGACACGGUCCAGACUCCUACGGGAGGCAGCAGUGGGGAAUUUUGGACAAUGGGGGCAACCCUGAUCCAGCCAUGCCGCGUGAGUGAAGAAGGCCUCGGUU
RNAcentral lists this ribosomal RNA (413 nucleotides) under bacterium enrichment culture clone ALO1_GLFRUDD03F4NH8. Its description in RNAcentral is "bacterial SSU rRNA". It matches the Rfam family "Bacterial small subunit ribosomal RNA", at positions 9 to 424 of the family's 1533-position model. The record is from RNAcentral.